GAUGAAGAACGCAGCGAAAUGCGAUAAGUAAUGUGAAUUGCAGAAUUCAGUGAAUCAUCGAAUCUUUGAACGCACAUUGCGCCCCUUGGUAUUCCGAGGGGCAUGCCUGUUCGAGCGUCAUUAUAACCCCUCAAGCUCAGCUUGGUGUUGGGGCCUGCCGCACGGGCAGCCCUUAAAAUCAGUGGCGGUGCCAUCUGGCUCUAAGCGUAGUAAUUCUUCUCGCUAUAGAGUCCCGGUGGUGUCUUGCCAGAACCCCUCAUUUUUUAUGAUUGACCUCGGAUCAGGUAGGGAUACCCGCUGAACUUAAGCAUAUCAAUAAGCGGAGGA
Molecule: unclassified non-coding RNA, 327 nt
Filed under: soil metagenome
Description: partial contains 5.8S ribosomal RNA, internal transcribed spacer 2, and large subunit ribosomal RNA
Rfam family: 5.8S ribosomal RNA (bases 1-120)
Source: RNAcentral